UAGCUUGUAUGGGAUGAAACACAUUCCUGCAUGGAUCAAAUAUUUGUAUGCUGGUGCAUAAAAAUAUUACAAAUGAUUGUGAUACACAUUAUACACCUGGUAAACUAUUAACCAAUCAACAUCGCAUAAUCAGAUAUAGAAAGCAACUGAGCGCCACGUUACAUGCAUGGUUGUCGUUGGUUUGCUGGCUGUUGCUAGCUAGCAGCUGGCUGAUCAUGUGGGUGAAAAACCACCAAGAUAUUCUUCUCUAAGGACUUUAGAGUUGA
RNAcentral lists this long non-coding RNA (266 nucleotides) under Elaeis guineensis (African oil palm). RNAcentral describes it as "long non-coding RNA (EGUI_LNC034441)". Lineage: Eukaryota; Viridiplantae; Streptophyta; Magnoliopsida; Arecales; Arecaceae. The record is from RNAcentral.